Molecule: long non-coding RNA, 434 nt
Filed under: Gallus gallus (chicken)
Lineage: Eukaryota; Metazoa; Chordata; Aves; Galliformes; Phasianidae
Description: long non-coding RNA NONGGAT005426
Source: RNAcentral
CCUCCUAACAGCAUGUGAAAACACCUGAUUUCCCAUUGUCAUGCAAGCGAUGGACAGUGCUUCUGUCCCACUGGGGGGAAUUUCUGCAUCACCAUCACUAAACUGGAUACAUGUGGGAUGAUUGCUGACCACAGAAAGAAGCCGAAGAUGAACCACCUACCUGCUGAAGGCAGAGGAUCAGCGCUGCUCCAGCCUUGCUCCUUGUUGGUACACAAGUUAGAGGGAGCAGUUGGGCUGAGAACCCAGAGGGGCAGCCUGGCCAAUGCAGUGUUGCAAACUCUGCCCCAUCCUGGCAGAGCAAUGCAAAGGCAGGGAGUUACCCCGAGUAAAACCCUUGCUCAGAUGGACCAUGAACGCAGCCACAGGAUAAGGUAGCAACCCAUAACGUAGGUAAGAAGCAUUUUGCAAAGGGGCAGUGCGUAAAAACAAGCCUG